AGAAUACCAAGUCAUGCAUCGAGGGCUCCGGCCGAUCCUCCCACCCUUUGUGUACCUACCUCUGUUGCUUUGGCGGGCCGCGGUUCUCCGCGGCCGCCCCCCUCCCCGGGGGGUGGCCAGCGCCCGCCAGAGGACCAUCAAACUCCAGUCAGUAAACGAUGCAGUCUGAAAAACAUUUAAUAAACUAAAACUUUCAACAACGGAUCUCUUGGUUCUGGCAUCGAUGAAGAACGCAGCGAAAUGCGAUAAGUAAUGUGAAUUGCAGAAUUCAGUGAAUCAUCGAAUCUUUGAACGCACAUUGCGCCCUUUGGUAUUCCGAAGGGCAUGCCUGUUCGAGCGUCAUUACAACCCUCAAGCUCUGCUUGGUAUUGGGCACCGUCCUUUGCGGGCGCGCCUCAAAGACCUCGGCGGUGGCGUCUUGCCUCAAGCGUAGUAGAACAUACAUCUCGCUUCGGAGCGCAGGGCGUCGCCCGCCGGACGAACCUUCUGAACUUUUCUCAAGGUUGACCUCGGAUCAGGUAGGGAUACCCGCUGAACUUAAGCAUAUCAAUAAGCGGAGGAA
RNAcentral lists this ribosomal RNA (562 nucleotides) under Botryosphaeria dothidea. RNAcentral's name for it is "eukaryotic LSU rRNA". The stretch from base 189 to 342 matches the Rfam family "5.8S ribosomal RNA". The record is from RNAcentral. Lineage: Eukaryota; Fungi; Ascomycota; Dothideomycetes; Botryosphaeriales; Botryosphaeriaceae.